CUAGUGGCGAACGGGUGAGGAACACGUGAGAAAUUUGCCCCGAACUUUGGGAUAACAGUUGGAAACGACUGCUAAUACCGAAUGCCGUUACGAAGUGGCAUCACUAUGUAACGAAAGAAUUUCGGUUCGGGAGAAUCUCGCGGCCUAUCAGCUUGUUGGGGAGGUAACGGCUCACCAAGGCUUCGACGGGUAGCUGGUCUGAGAGGGCGACCGGCCACACUGGGACUGAGACACGGCCCAGACUCC
Molecule: ribosomal RNA, 246 nt
Filed under: uncultured bacterium
Lineage: Bacteria
Description: partial 16S ribosomal RNA
Rfam family: Bacterial small subunit ribosomal RNA
Source: RNAcentral